UACGGAGGGAGCUAGCGUUGUUCGGAAUUACUGGGCGUAAAGCGCACGUAGGCGGCUUUCUAAGUCAGGGGUGAAAUCCCGGGGCUCAACCCCGGAACUGCCCUUGAAACUGGAUGGCUAGAAUCCUGGAGAGGCGAGUGGAAUUCCGAGUGUAGAGGUGAAAUUCGUAGAUAUUCGGAAGAACACCAGUGGCGAAGGCGGCUCACUGGACCGGUAUUGACGCUGAGGUGCGAAAGCGUGGGGAGCAAACAGG
Molecule: ribosomal RNA, 253 nt
Filed under: uncultured bacterium
Lineage: Bacteria
Description: partial 16S ribosomal RNA
Rfam family: Bacterial small subunit ribosomal RNA
Source: RNAcentral